GACUCUCGGCAACGGAUAUCUCGGCUCUCGCAUCGAUGAAGAACGUAGCGAAAUGCGAUACUUGGUGUGAAUUGCAGAAUCCCGUGAACCAUCGAGUCUUUGAACGCAAGUUGCGCCCGAAGCCACUAGGCCGAGGGCACGUCUGCCUGGGUGUCACGCAACGUCGCCAACGCCCGGU
Molecule: ribosomal RNA, 178 nt
Filed under: Inga edulis
Lineage: Eukaryota; Viridiplantae; Streptophyta; Magnoliopsida; Fabales; Fabaceae
Also listed under: 3 other names
Description: 5.8S ribosomal RNA
Rfam family: 5.8S ribosomal RNA (bases 1-156)
About the family: 5.8S ribosomal RNA (5.8S rRNA) is a component of the large subunit of the eukaryotic ribosome. It is transcribed by RNA polymerase I as part of the 45S precursor that also contains 18S and 28S rRNA. Functionally, it is thought that 5.8S rRNA may be involved in ribosome translocation.
Source: RNAcentral